GUCCACCUGCAUGUCAUUAGGAGCCCAUAAAGGUUCUUCCAGUGGUGCCCCUUGACAGGGACGUUCAUCCAACUGUUCACCUCCUCAGUGCAAUGGCCAAAAGCUUUUCUACUUGGUAUCCAAUCAGGACGAUGAUGGGCAGUACACAAUCAAUCCUUAUUAAGGCUGAUGACUAUCCUCGAUACGCCCUGCGGGCGCGGGGCCGGGCCCGCUGCUCUCUCCCUCUCUCCCCGCCUCUCUCGCCGCCGCCCAACGGCUCCGCUGCGAGGCCGCGACGGCCGGGAGCAUGGACGGAGGGAAUGGACGCGGCCGCGGGGGUUGGGGGGGGGCCCGGCGCUGUCCACCGCCGCCUCUCAGCACCCCGCCGCGGGGCUGCCGGCCCUCAGCGGCGCCCCCGCUGCCGCCCGCCCGCUCCCGCUCCCACCGCCGCCGCCAUGGUGCGGCUCCAUGCAGGGCGCGCACCGCUGACAGGGGCGGGCCGGGCCG
Molecule: long non-coding RNA, 486 nt
Filed under: Gallus gallus (chicken)
Lineage: Eukaryota; Metazoa; Chordata; Aves; Galliformes; Phasianidae
Source: RNAcentral